Molecule: long non-coding RNA, 562 nt
Organism: Mytilus californianus (California mussel)
Lineage: Eukaryota; Metazoa; Mollusca; Bivalvia; Mytilida; Mytilidae
Exons: 2
Source: RefSeq, a predicted model, not a curated record
UAUACGUUGUUGAAAUAGUUUUCGGACAGAUACACCAGAUUCGUCCACGAAAUGGUUAACAGAGAUAUACUUACAUUAUACCUGUUUAUUUUAGUACUUUAUCGAAAUGCAUUCGGAGUGACAUCAGCACCACUAGGAAAUAGCGGCAUGAAAGUUCUGGCAAUCCAUAGUUUACAGAAAGUUUCAAAGAGAAACCCUAAGAUAUAUCAGCAAAUAGUAGACCAAUUGCAAUGUCCACAGAAUGUUAACAUUAUGGAUUGCUACACCACUUUAAUGUCACCAUGGAUACGUUAUAUGCUAUCUCACAGAAGACAUUUAUAAGAUCAAGACAUGAUAGUGAGGAUAUUUAUGCUUGAUAGAUGGAAUUUAGAAUGUGUAUGCUUUUCCAAAAAUGUGGAUAUUUUUACUGUACUACUUUUGAAGAGAUUGACUUUGUUAACAACGGUUUGGACGAUAUACACUUUUAUUAAACGUAUACAUUUUUAAAACGUACACAGCUCUUUAAAUAAUUAUGAAUACCUGCAUGCAGUAUCACAUUCCUAUAAUAAACCAUUUCCUGGAA